This 778-nucleotide ribosomal RNA is filed under the name uncultured Mesotoga sp. RNAcentral's name for it is "bacterial SSU rRNA". It matches the Rfam family "Bacterial small subunit ribosomal RNA", at positions 8 to 795 of the family's 1533-position model. The record is from RNAcentral. Lineage: Bacteria; Thermotogati; Thermotogota; Thermotogae; Kosmotogales; Kosmotogaceae.
AGAGUUUGAUUCUGGCUCAGGGUGAACGCUGGCGGCGUGCUUGACACAUGCAAGUCGAACGGUAUGUGGCAACACAUAGAGUGGCGAACGGGUGAGUAACACGUGGGAACGUACCUUCUGCAGGGGGAUAACUGACCGAAAGGACAGCUAAUACCGCAUAAGACCGAGAGGAGAAAGGUGCAACAGCAUCGGCAGAGGAGCGGCCCGCGGACCAUCAGCUAGUUGGUGGGGUAAGAGCCUACCAAGGCAACGACGGAUAGCCGGCGUGAGAGCGUGGCCGGCCACAAGGACACUGAGAUACGGGUCCUACUCCUACGGGAGGCAGCAGUGCGGAAUUUUAGAUAAUGGAGGCAACUCUGAUCUAGCGACGCCGCGUGCAGGAAGAAGGUCUUCGGAUUGUAAACUGCUGUGGUAAGGGAAAAAUGCCAUGUAGAGUGGAAAGCUACAUGGAGGGAUGGUACUUUACUAGAAAGCCCCGGCUAACUACGUGCCAGCAGCCGCGGUAAUACGUAGGGGGCGAGCGUUACCCGGAAUCACUGGGCGUAAAGGGAGCGUAGGUGGCCUGACAUGUCGACUGUGAAAACCCGGAGCUCAACUCCGGACUUGCAGUUGAAACUGCCAGGCUUGAGGACGGUAGAGGAAGACGGAACUGCCAGUGUAGGGGUAAAAUCCUUAGAUAUUGGCAGGAACGCCGGUGACGAAGGUGGUUUUCUGGGCCGGUUCUGACACUGAUGCUCGAAAGCCAGGGGAGCGAACGGGAUUAGAUACCCUGGUAGUC